GACGAACCGAGCGAACGUUGUUCGGAAUCACUGGGCUUAAAGGGCGCGUAGGCGGGCUGCCGCGUCCGGGGUGAAAUCCUCCGGCUCAACCGGAGAACGGCCCCGGGUACGGGCGGCCUCGAGGGGGGUAGGGGCGGGCGGAACUGUGGGUGGAGCGGUGAAAUGCUUAGAUAUGACAUAGAACACCUAUUGCGAAGGCAGCAGGCUACACAUAUAUUGACGCUGAGGCACGAAAGCGUGGGGAUCAAACAGG
Molecule: ribosomal RNA, 253 nt
Filed under: uncultured bacterium
Lineage: Bacteria
Description: partial 16S ribosomal RNA
Rfam family: Bacterial small subunit ribosomal RNA
Source: RNAcentral